Molecule: long non-coding RNA, 4301 nt
Organism: Felis catus (domestic cat)
Lineage: Eukaryota; Metazoa; Chordata; Mammalia; Carnivora; Felidae
Exons: 3
Source: RefSeq, a predicted model, not a curated record
GGCUUCGGGGAAUGGUUUUACUUUUCUGGUAGGAGAGACAGAUAUGUUUGGUGCAACUCUGUUGCCUUUCUCCUGCCCUGACCUGGAAGGUGAAGGUUAGAGCUGUGGCAGCCAAGUGAGGACGUCAAAGAACACCAAAAAAAGAAAGAGCCUGGGAAAUGCCAGCAACUGCCGAUCUCCAGAAUCCCUGGUGCAUCAGCGUCCAGAGGCAGCGGCUGCCACGUCCUGGAUCAGAUGUCCACUUGCUGACUUGGGAGAACAAAAGUGGGUUUGGUGUGUGCGAUGAAAAUGAUCCAGUAGUGAGGAAGCGACUGAUGAUGCUGAAAGCAGAAAUGAUACUCCAGGACUGAAGUCCCUGAUAAAGAAGGAGAAAGAGUCAGAGCACAGGUCAGGAGACUGGCUUUUGACAGGAGCAGAGAUCGCUCUCACAGGGGUGAAGACAGAAAACAACAGGUAGAUUUGUGGAUCCAGCAGCAGGUGGAUAAGAAACUCCCCCACUUGCUUGUUUCUACUUUUUCAAGAAAAUGGAAAGCAAGGUCAUCAGCCAAGGAUUGGGAAGAGAGGCUAUGGGAGAUUCAAAACUCCCUUCUGGAUCACAGAAGAAAAUCAAUUAUAUUACAUGAUGCAGAAUAUCUAUCUCCAAUCCUACUUUGUGGUACCACUCCAGGGCCUUCCCUGAAGAGUAGAGAGCAUGAUGAAAAUGGCUACGAUUAUGAUUCCCAUUUUACAGAGCAGAAAAGCAGGCUUACAGAGGUUUAAGUAAGGCACCAAGGAGCUGAUUAGCAGUGACACUGGGGACUCACCGGGUCUGUAUGACCACUGAACCAAUUAUUCAAUGCUCUGGCACACCCAAAGUCCUGAAUGAACAGUAGUGAGAUUUGGCACAGACAAGAUCAUCCUCUAUGACUUCAUUCAGUCAACAUUUCCCCAGCCAGAGGUCAUCGGGUCAUCGUGCCUGAGUGGCCCAGACGCUUCAGGCCACACGGGAAGAUCUCGUGAACUGUCAGACGUGUGCGUGCGUAUGCAUCUGUGUGCACGUGUAUGAGACGGAAAGCGGUCCGAGGGAGAUACGGAUACAUAUCGGCAUUCUUGGGCUCUAGUUCAGAACUAUUCUCCGAAGUGCUGGAGAGUUAGUUUGUCUCAGAGCACUAAUGCAUUUUGGAAAAGAGAAAGAAUUUUUAAAGGCAAGCCAUCUCUCAUCCUCUUUCUUCAUUCACAGGGCCAGAAAAGUGGUAUUUCUGGCAGGGGCUAGAGGCAGAAUCCUCUAUAAAUACAAAGCCAUUAAAUCCCAUGCAGCGGGAACCUGAUCGGAGCCUCCUUUUAAUUUCCUGACAUGAGCUGGCCACUAACCCAAUUACCCAGAAUCCCCGGAGGAGCCCUCCGCCCUCCCAACAAGCACAAAGAGAGUGAGAGCAUAUUGCAUGGAUGUCGGCCCAGCUUUCACUGAAAUCAAAUAUCUUUUAGAAAACACUUGGGGAAAAGGCAGGCAAGGGCUGAGGGGAGGAGGAAGUGGAGCGGGACAGGGAGGCUGCUGGCCCGAGGCAGGUGAAGUGAGGUGAGGAGAAGGUGAAGUUCGCAGGACAGGCCUUCCAGGGAGAGCUGCUGAAAGCCCAGAGCCGUGCUGAAGCAUGCGGGCUUCCUGUGAAAGGCAGCAAAUGGUUUUCCAGGUUCUUCGGCUCAGAGGCUGGCAGGCCACACCCCAGCCAGGCGGGGAAGCCCAACUAUCGGGGGAGAGCCGCUCCGCUGCUGUCCCGAGGGAACCUCUCAUCCUGACUUUAGACCCCAGACAGGGGGCCAGCCCCAGGCGGAGGUCACCCCUGAGAUGCCCACCAGCGAGUCCAGGAGGAAGAUCAGGGCGGCCAGUAUGUCUCACCUCACGCGAGACCGCCUUUGAACCAACUACUCUAAUAACACGCCCAGAAAGGUGACGGCUUAAAGCAAUCCCACGGUGGAUUUCACCAAGGAGUCAUUCCACGUGGUCCCCCCGCCCCACUUGACCUGCAGGUGUCAACACCCCUGCUCCCCAGGUGAAGAAAUGGAGGCCCAGGAGUGUGAGCCAGAGAGAGAACGCACACAGCAGGAUUCCCUCAGAGCCAGGAGCGAGGGCGCAGGCCCCAACCCUCAACCCAGUGUGGAUUUUGUGUCCGAUUUCUUAUGAAGAGAAAAGUCACCUUUUUUCUCUGAAAAAGCAGACUUUCACACACUGGAUUUGCUUAAAGUGAGACAGACCUGGGUACUGCCUAUGUGGAACAGUCGAUGAUGAUGAUUCCAGAGCCGACGGCGGCCCCAAGGCAGGGGGGAGGCUGAGUCGCAAGAAGUCCCAUCACCAGAGUUUCCCCUCUCUCCCCCACCCCCACAGGUGCUGGCCCCCAAAUUAUGAAGCAGUGUCUAAGGUGUUUUACUUGCGAAAAGAAAAACUGUAAAAGACAGGGGCGCCUAGGUGGCUCAGCGGGUUAAGCAUCUGACUUUGGCUCAGGUCACGAUAUCACGGUCUGUGGGUUCGAGCCCCGUGGCAGGCUCUGUGCUGACAGCCUGCUUUGGAUUCCGUCUCCCUUUCUCUCUGGCCCUCCCGCCCCCCCCCCCCCCCCACCGCACACACGCUCUCUAGAGCUGCUGGACAGAAGACAGGAAACAGCUUAAGAUGUGCAGGUGAGGUAGGGAGGAGGGGGAGCGGACAUUCGCAUCCCUUCUCCAGCCUCCUGCCACCCCCACACUUCUACACAAGACCCGAGACCCGGGACCCCGGCCCCUGGUUCCUCCAAGCGAGGCCCACCCCAGAUCCUUCAGGAGGAGUGGCUCCCAGGGAGGCUGCAGCCUGCCUCUCAGAGUCGGGCCAGAGUCUGGGGGAAAGCAGAGGGAGGGCAGGGAGCCUGUGCCCGCCCCAGGGGCCCAGGCUCCUGCUCGCGAGGUGGUGGGGGGACAACCAAACAAAAGCAGGAGCCGGGGCAGCUGCCAAGAGCCCCCACCUGGCAGGGGCCCAGGCUCCUCAACGAGGCACGCUCCUCCUCAGGGGGCUGGUCCCCGUGGAGCUUCUGAUGGCAGGAUCCCGCCAAGGCUCUGCACUGCAGGGGACAGAAACUAAAUGGAGGCACUCGGCUUUGUCCGCUCCGGGAGCCUUUGUGUCAUCCUGUCCCCUCUGGAUUUAGAACUGCCAGCACUGGGGCGGCGUGGCGGAGGGGAGGGUUCUGCGGACGGCCCCUCCUCCUCCAGGCAGAGCUCCGGAAAGGGCCUCUCCAGGCUGGGCCCAAGGGGUGUCAGAUGCCCCUUGCUGCCACCCUAGAGAGAAACCAUGCAGGGGUUUCAAGUGGUGGUCCCUCCCUUUUUCCUCAUCUCUCCUUCCCCUUCCCACGCUCUUCAGCUCACAAUCCCGGGAAACUCCAGGCUCUGGGCCCAGCUCCCCACACAUCGGCAGAGACUGAGGGUGGAAAAGACCUUGAGCCCCAAGCCCUACAGGACUCAGUUCUGUCAUCGUUAAAAUUCAGGAGCAUACUAACAGCACGGCAGCUCCCCUCUGCUCCAAGUUCCCCAGAUGCUGUGAAGUAAGCAAUGAGAGUCCACAAACUACAACCAGAAAAGGCCACUGCACUGCUGGCCCCCGGCCUGACCCAGUGCCCUCAUGCCCAGCUUCCAGAACAAGGCGGUAGCCCCCGUCCCCAGGAUUUAUGAGCUAGCUUCUCUAAGACUUAGAAACCCUUAGGCUGGCUUCCAGCAGCCCUCGGAGGAGGAAGUCUAGAGGCCAGCACUGAAGCAUACUGCUGAGGACCCCUGUGCCUCAGUUUCCUCAUCUGUGAACCCCAGGAUGCUCUGGAGGAGCAGAAAGAGCCUGGCGUAGCAAUCAGGGGACCCUGGUCAGUCACUAACUCGGGUCACACCCUACACAAGGGUAUGACUCAAAUCGUGUAGAAUCAAAAUGAACUCACAAUCUUUCAGGAGGUCUAACACAGCCCACUUUUAGUCUAGAAAGAAGACUGUUCUUACUUGACUACCCCUCCCCCCCAACGAGGCAGUUGGCAUGUUUCUAAAUAACUGAUUGGCUUCGCCAUCUCAAAGGUGUUAAAUGAAGAGGCCAACGAGAAAUGUGGUUUAAAGGGCAACAUGCUAUGUAGACACCGGGGUAGCUGAGGAACUGCUUCAGGAGCAUGUUUAGAGGUGGGCACGCUGGGCCAGCUGGGGUGGUGCACGGGACGGAGACCAGAGGUCUCUCAUUUCCCCAACACGGCAAGGUCCAAGUUGUCCUACUGACAAAGCAUCAAUUAAAUUAGCACCUUCUUCCCCAGGGAUGCAGGGAGAGGAGGAUGAGA